Molecule: ribosomal RNA, 253 nt
Filed under: uncultured bacterium
Lineage: Bacteria
Description: partial 16S ribosomal RNA
Rfam family: Bacterial small subunit ribosomal RNA
Source: RNAcentral
UACAGAGGGGGCGAGCGUUGUUCGGAAUUACUGGGCGUAAAGGGCGCGUAGGCGGCCUGCUAAGUCGGACGUGAAAGCCCACGGCUCAACCGUGGAGGGUCAUUGGAAACUGGGGAACUUGAGUGCAGAAGAGGAAAGUGGAAUUCCAAGUGUAGCGGUGAAAUGCGUAGAGAUUUGGAGGAACACCAGUGGCGAAGGCGACUUUCUGGUCUGUAACUGACACUGAGGCGCGAAAGCGUGGGGAGCGAACAGG